RNAcentral lists this ribosomal RNA (253 nucleotides) under uncultured bacterium. Its description in RNAcentral is "partial 16S ribosomal RNA". It matches the Rfam family "Bacterial small subunit ribosomal RNA", at positions 524 to 776 of the family's 1533-position model. The record is from RNAcentral.
UACGAAGGGGGCUAGCGUUGCUCGGAAUGACUGGGCGUAAAGGGCGCGUAGGCGGAUGGCACAGUCAGAUGUGAAAUUCCCGGGCUUAACCUGGGGGCUGCAUUUGAUAUGUGUUGUCUAGAGUGAGGAAGAGGGUUGUGGAAUUCCCAGUGUAGAGGUGAAAUUCGUAGAUAUUGGGAAGAACACCGGUGGCGAAGGCGGCAACCUGGUCCUUGACUGACGCUGAGGCGCGAAAGCUAGGGGAGCAAACAGG